UACGGAGGAUGCAAGCGUUAUCCGGAUUUAUUGGGUUUAAAGGGUGCGCAGGUUGUUUGUAUAAGUCAGUGGUGAAAGUCUGUCGCUUAACGGUAGGAUUGCCAUUGAUACUGUUAGACUUGAAUAUGGAUGAGGUAGGCGGAAUGUGUAGUGUAGCGGUGAAAUGCUUAGAUAUUACACAGAACACCGAUUGCAAAGGCAGCUUGCUGGGUCAUUACUGACGCUGAUGCACGAAAGCGUGGGGAGUCAAACAGGA
RNAcentral lists this ribosomal RNA (256 nucleotides) under uncultured prokaryote. RNAcentral's name for it is "partial 16S ribosomal RNA". It matches the Rfam family "Bacterial small subunit ribosomal RNA", at positions 524 to 777 of the family's 1533-position model. The record is from RNAcentral.